AUUGAACUCAGGGGCACUCAACCACUGAGCCACAUCCCCAGCCCUAUUUUGUAUUUUAUUUAGAGACUGGAUCUGAAUGAGGGGCUUAGUUCCUUGCCCUUGCUGAGGCUGACUUUGAACCCACAAUCCUUGUGUCUCAGCCUCCUGAGACACUGGGAUACAGGCAUGUGCCACUGCACAGCAACUGGUUUUGCAACUAAGGCUAUAUACAUGAUUCCAGUACUUCACAUAAUUUUAAAUAAUCUUGAAAUAUUCAAUAUAUAGAAAACACCUUACCUUGUUAGAGGAGUUCAUUAUACUCCAUGAAAAACAAUUUAAGCUUUGGUUUUUUAUCUGAUAUUAUUUUAUCCAUAACUCAGUUCUAGAAAAUUGCCACACAACCAUGUCUUCGGCAGAUCCCUCUUCAGCUGAUAUCUGUUGAAGAAUAUUAAUCUAGAUCCUCUAACAGCAGUUAAAGGCAGUUCACAGCAGCUGCUUAAAAUCAACAUCUUCUGCCAUAAAUUUUGUCUCUUCCUUUUCUGUGAAAAGAUUUAAUGCAAUGUAAUGGCAGACAUACUUAAGAUCCAAGUCAAUAAUUUCCUCUCUUUAGAUUAUGCAAAAUGUCCAGGGUGGGCUUGUGUCAAGACUCUGGUCUCUGAGACUAACUGGCUCUUGAUGGAGAGGUCACAGGCACAGCCCACUAUGAGCCCUGGGCUCACAGAACCUCAACAAUCUCUUCAGAAUUCAGGGUAGUGUUUGCACAAUGUAUUGUUUUUGUCUUUUGACAUUUAACUUUUGUAGGUCCUUACACUGAAGGUAUAUGUUGUGAAGAGAAUAUGGUGGCAGCAAUUUCUUUCUUUCUACGGUUUGACAAUUUUUGAUGGAUUGAUUGCAGUACUGGGAGCCUCACAUAUGUUAGGAAAGCACUCUACUGCUGAGCUCCAUCCCGUCUGCAACCUCUUAUUUUAAACUGAAGUAUUAAUUUUGUUUAUAUUUGUAUAUAUCCUGAAAUAUUUGGAUUUAAAUACAUCGUCUUACUAUUUAUUUUUUAGUUUAUUCUGUGUGUUUUCCCUCUCUACAUCUUUCUUUGGUUUAACUUAAUAUUUUAAAUAUUUUUUGACUGCAAGUUACAAGUUCUUUCAUAGUUACCACAGAGACUGUAGUAAGCACCCUUUGUUAUUUUACCACUUCAAGACAAUGCAAGAAACUUGGAACUCUUUAAUUUCAUUGAUCCCUUUCUCAGUUCUGUGCUUUUGUUGUCAAGUAUAAUGUGUGUGUGUGUGUGUGUGUGUAACAAACAUACAAUUGUCCUUGAGUUCACAGGGGAUUGGUUCCAGCACAUCCUUCUCUCCACACAGAUACCCAAAUCCAUGGCUGCCCAAGUCACUUAUAUAAGAUGAUAUAGUAGUGUAGUAGAUACACUAUAAUUCUCCUAUUUUAAAUCAUCUCUAGGUCAUGUAUAGUAUCUAAUAACCUGGUAUUCGCCAGUUUUUCAUUGCAGGGACAAAAUACCUGAGAAAAAAUUUAAAAGGAGGACACAUUAGUUUUGGCUUAUGGUUCCAGAGGUUCUAGUCCAAUGGCCAGCACCAUCGUUUUAGGCCUCAGGUUGAGGCAGAACAUCAUGUCAGAGGAGCAUGGUGUAGGAAAGCUGAUCCGCUCAUGGCAGCUGGGAAACAGGGUGGAGAGGGGCAGGAGACAAGAUACACUCUUUCAAGGCACCACCUCCAAUGACCUCUUCCUCCAAGUAGGCCCCACUCACUACAGUUUACCAUCUUUCAAUGAUGCCAUCAAAUCAUGAAUCAAUCUAGUAGAUCAAUCCAUUCUUGAUGUCAGAGGCUUCAUGAUCCAAUUAUUUCCCCAGAGUCCUACCUCCAAACAUUGCUGGAUUGGAGAUCAAGCCUUCAACCCAUGAGACUCUGGGAGACUUCCAGAUCCAAACCAUACCAUGGAGAGCCAUCUGUAUAUAUAAACUUUAUGUGUGUAUGUGUAUGUGUGUGUGUGUCUAACUAUAUAAUAUAAUAUAAUAUAAUAUAUAUAUUGCAAUAUAUGUAUAUAUAUAACUAUAUAUAAUAGGUAAUAUACCUCACAAAACUUUAUUACUAUUGUUUUAUAAAAUCAAUAUUUAUUUAUAUGUAACUACCUAUUUAUUUUUUCUGUUGCUAACUUCUGACAUCUCUGAGCUCCUUUUAGGAUCAUGUUUUUCUGAAUUUCUUUAAUAUUCCUUUUUAGUGUAGGUCUGUUGCUGAUGAUAAAGUUUUCUUAAUUUUUGUUUGUCUACCAAGUAUUUAUUUUAUCUUUA
RNAcentral lists this long non-coding RNA (2278 nucleotides) under Marmota monax (woodchuck). The record is from RNAcentral. Lineage: Eukaryota; Metazoa; Chordata; Mammalia; Rodentia; Sciuridae.